Molecule: ribosomal RNA, 367 nt
Filed under: uncultured delta proteobacterium
Lineage: Bacteria; Deltaproteobacteria
Description: bacterial SSU rRNA
Rfam family: Bacterial small subunit ribosomal RNA
Source: RNAcentral
CGAUUUGGCCUCGGCCCUUUCGGGGAAAGGAUGGCCUCUGCUUGCAAGCCAUCGCUCUUGGACGGGCCCGCGGCCCCAUUAGCUAGUUGGUGAGGUAACGGCUCACCAAGGCGAUGAUGGGUAGCUGGUCUGAGAGGAUGAUCAGCCACACUGGGACUGGAACACGGCCCAGACUCCUACGGGAGGCAGCAGUGGGAAUUUUGCGCAAUGGGGAAACCCUGACGCAGCAACGCCGCGUGGGUGAUGAAGGCCCUUGGGUCGUAAAGCCCUGUCGGGUGGGAAGAAGCCCCCGUCGGCGAAUAGUCGGCGGGGAUGACGGUACCACUAGAGGAAGCACCGGCUAACUCUGUGCCAGCAGCCGCGGUAA